UUUUUGGAGAGUUUGAUCCUGGCUCAGAGUUAACGCUGGCGGCGUGCCUAACACAUGCAAGUCGAGCGAGGGUCUGUACGACCUAGCGGCAGACGGGUGAGUAACACGUAAACAAUCUGCCCUCGAGUGGGAGACAACCAAGCGAAAGUUUGGCUAAUACCCCAUACAAUCCUCUUGAGGCAUCUCAGGAGGAUGAAAGGAGCAAUCCGUUCGAGGAGGAGUUUGCGGCCUAUCAGCUAGUUGGCGGUGUAAAAGACCACCAAGGCUAUGACGGGUAGCCGAUCUAAAAGGAUGACCGGCCACAAGGGCACUGAGACACGGGCCCUACUCCUACGGGAGGCAGCAGUGGGGAAUUUUGGACAAUGGACGAAAGUCUGAUC
RNAcentral lists this ribosomal RNA (380 nucleotides) under Elusimicrobiota bacterium. RNAcentral's name for it is "bacterial SSU rRNA". It matches the Rfam family "Bacterial small subunit ribosomal RNA", at positions 1 to 388 of the family's 1533-position model. Lineage: Bacteria; Pseudomonadati; Elusimicrobiota. The record is from RNAcentral.